CCUACGGGUGGCAGCAGUAGGGAAUAUUGCUCAAUGGGGGAAACCCUGAAGCAGCAACGCCGCGUGGAGGAUGAAGGUUUUCGGAUUGUAAACUCCUUUUGUUAGAGAAGAUAAUGACGGUAUCUAACGAAUAAGCACCGGCUAACUCCGUGCCAGCAGCCGCGGUAAUACGGAGGGUGCAAGCGUUACUCGGAAUCACUGGGCGUAAAGAGCGCGUAGGCGGGAUAGCAAGUCAGAUGUGAAAUCCUAUGGGUUAACCAUAGAACUGCAUUUGAAACUGUUAUUCUAGAGUAUGGGAGAGGUAAGGGGAAAUCCUGGGGCAGGGGUGAAAACCGUAGAGAACAAGAGGAAAA
Molecule: ribosomal RNA, 353 nt
Filed under: uncultured bacterium
Lineage: Bacteria
Description: partial 16S ribosomal RNA
Rfam family: Bacterial small subunit ribosomal RNA
Source: RNAcentral